AAAAGGGAAGCGCUUGUGACCAGACUUGCGUCCGGUGAAUCACCCAGCUCUCGCGGCUGGGGCACUUCGCCGGCACAGGCCAGCAUCAGCUUGCCGUCGGGGACAAAAGCUUCAGGAACGUGGCUCCUCUCGGGGAGUGUUAUAGCCUGUUGCACAAUACCCUUCGGCGGGCUGAGGUACGCGCUCCGCAAGGAUGCUGGCGUAAU
Molecule: ribosomal RNA, 206 nt
Filed under: Colletotrichum salicis
Lineage: Eukaryota; Fungi; Ascomycota; Sordariomycetes; Glomerellales; Glomerellaceae
Description: partial 28S ribosomal RNA
Source: RNAcentral